GCCUGAGUGGCUCAGUUGGUUAAGCAUCUGACUUCAGCUCAGGUCAUAAUCUUGAGAUUUGUGAGUUUGAGCCCUGCAUCAGGCU
RNAcentral lists this transfer RNA (85 nucleotides) under Felis catus (domestic cat). It matches the Rfam family "tRNA". From Rfam's summary of the family: Transfer RNA (tRNA) molecules are approximately 80 nucleotides in length. Their secondary structure includes four short double-helical elements and three loops (D, anti-codon, and T loops). Further hydrogen bonds mediate the characteristic L-shaped molecular structure. tRNAs have two regions of fundamental functional importance: the anti-codon, which is responsible for specific mRNA codon recognition, and the 3' end, to which the tRNAs corresponding amino acid is attached (by aminoacyl-tRNA synthetases). tRNAs cope with the degeneracy of the genetic code in two manners: having more than one tRNA (with a specific anti-codon) for a particular amino acid; and 'wobble' base-pairing, i.e. permitting non-standard base-pairing at the 3rd anti-codon position. The record is from Rfam by way of RNAcentral. Lineage: Eukaryota; Metazoa; Chordata; Mammalia; Carnivora; Felidae.